CGCGGUUUUUGAUGAUGUGCUUUGUCCGCGGAUUGAUGCCCUCGAUCCCAACUUGAAUUGGAUUUCGAGAGGAAACAAAGACUAGUC
Molecule: telomerase RNA, 87 nt
Filed under: Macrophomina phaseolina MS6
Lineage: Eukaryota; Fungi; Ascomycota; Dothideomycetes; Botryosphaeriales; Botryosphaeriaceae
Description: Ascomycota telomerase RNA
Rfam family: Ascomycota telomerase RNA
Source: Rfam by way of RNAcentral